This 119-nucleotide ribosomal RNA is filed under the name Lepisosteus oculatus (spotted gar). Lineage: Eukaryota; Metazoa; Chordata; Actinopteri; Semionotiformes; Lepisosteidae. The record is from RNAcentral.
AACAGCAGUCAUAUCACUGUGCAACUCACACUUGGCCACCCACUGAGGUUAAGUAGGUGUGAGCCUGCCCAGUACCUGGAUGGGAGACCUCCUGGGAAAAACUAAGGCUGCUGCUGGAA